UUUUAAAUUGAGAGUUUGAUCCUGGCUCAGGACGAACGCUGGCGGCGUGCCUAACACAUGCAAGUCGAGCGAUGAAGCUUCCUUCGGGAAGUGGAU
This 96-nucleotide ribosomal RNA is filed under the name Clostridium botulinum. Its description in RNAcentral is "partial 16S ribosomal RNA". It matches the Rfam family "Bacterial small subunit ribosomal RNA", at positions 1 to 92 of the family's 1533-position model. The record is from RNAcentral. Lineage: Bacteria; Bacillati; Bacillota; Clostridia; Eubacteriales; Clostridiaceae.